Anopheles funestus (African malaria mosquito) is the source of this 6779-nucleotide long non-coding RNA. RefSeq lists it as uncharacterized. The transcript is spliced from 3 exons. The record is from RefSeq and is a predicted model, not a curated record. NCBI's taxonomy places the organism in Eukaryota, Metazoa, Arthropoda, Insecta, Diptera, Culicidae.
GCUAAAGUGUCUUGGCUAAGGUGUCUUGGCUAAGGUGUCUUGGCUAAGGUGUCUUGGCUAAGGUGUCUUGGCUAAGGUGUCUUGGCUAAUGUGUCUCGGCUAAUGUGUCUUGGCUAAGGUGUCUUGGCUAAAGUGUCUUGGCUAAGGUGUCUUGGCUAAGGUGUCUUGGCUAAGGUGUUUUGGCUAAUGUGUCUCGGCUAAUGUGUCUUGGCUAAGGUGUCUUGGCUAAGGUGUCUUGGCUAAUGUGUCUUGGCUAAGGUGUCUUGGCUAAGGUGUCUUGGCUAAUGUGUCUUGGCUAAGGUGUCUUGGCUAAGGUGUCUUGGCUAAUGUGUCUUGGCUAAUGUGUCUUGGCUAAUGUGUCUUGGCUAAGGUGUCUUGGCUAAGGUGUCUUGGCUAAUGUGUCUUGGCUAAGGUGUCUAGGCUAAUGUGUCUUGGCUAAUGUGUCUUGGCUAAUGUGUCUUGGCUAAGGUGUCUUGGCUAAUGUGUCUUGGCUAAGGUGUCUUGGCUAAGGUGUCUUGGCUAAGGUGUCUUGGCUAAUGUGUCUCGGCUAAUGUGUCUUGGCUAAGGUGUCUUGGCUAAAGUGUCUUGGCUAAGGUGUCUUGGCUAAGGUGUCUUGGCUAAGGUGUUUUGGCUAAUGUGUCUUGGCUAAGGUGUCUUGGCUAAGGUGUCUUGGUUAAUGUGUCUUGGCUAAGGUGUCUUGGCUAAGGUGUCUUGGCUAAUGUGUCUUGGCUAAUGUGUCUUGGCUAAUGUGUCUUGGCUAAGGUGUCUUGGCUAAGGUGUCUUGGCUAAUGUGUCUUGGCUAAGGUGUCUAGGCUAAUGUGUCUUGGCUAAUGUGUCUUGGCUAAUGUGUCUUGGCUAAAGUGUCUUGGCUAAGGUGUCUUGGCUAAGGUGUCUUGGCUAAGGUGUCUUGGCUAAUGUGUCUUGGCUACGGUGUCUUGGCUAAUGUGUCUUUGCUAAGGUGUCUUGGCUAAUGUGUCUCGGCUUAUGUGUCUUGGCUAAGGUGUCUUGGCUAAGGUGUCUUGGCUAAUGUGUCUUGGCUACGGUGUCUUGGCUAAUGUGUCUUUGCUAAGGUGUCUUGGCUAAUGUGUCUCGGCUUAUGUGUCUUGGCUAAGGUGUCUUGGCUAAGGUGUCUUGGCUAAUGUGUCUUGGCUAAGGUGUCUUGGCUAAGGUGUCUUGGCUAAUGUGUCUUGGCUAAUGUGUUUUGGCUAAUGUGUCUUGGCUAAUGUGUCUUCGCUAAGGUGUCUUGGCUAAUGUGUUUUGGCUAAUGUGUCUUGGCUAAGGUGUCUUGGCUAAGGUGUCUUUGCUAAGGUGUCUUGGCUAAGGUGUCUUGGCUAAUGUGUCUUGGCUAAGGUGUCUUGGCUAAUGUGUCUCGGCUUAUGUGUCUUGGCUAAGGUGUCUUGGCUAAGGUGUCUUGGCUAAUGUGUCUUGGCUACGGUGUCUUGGCUAAUGUGUCUUUGCUAAGGUGUCUUGGCUAAUGUGUCUCGGCUUAUGUGUCUUGGCUAAGGUGUCUUGGCUAAGGUGUCUUGGCUAAUGUGUCUUGGCUACGGUGUCUUGGCUAAUGUGUCUUUGCUAAGGUGUCUUGGCUAAUGUGUCUCGGCUUAUGUGUCUUGGCUAAUGUGUCUUGGCUAAUGUGUCUUGGCUAAGGUGUCUUGGCUAAUGUGUCUUGGCUAAGGUGUCUUGGCUAAUGUGUCUUGGCUAAUGUGUUUUGGCUAAUGUGUCUUGGCUAAUGUGUCUUCGCUAAGGUGUCUUGGCUAAUGUGUUUUGGCUAAUGUGUCUUGGCUAAGGUGUCUUGGCUAAGGUGUCUUUGCUAAGGUGUCUUGGCUAAGGUGUCUUGGCUAAUGUGUCUUGGCUAAGGUGUCUUGGCUAAGGUGUCUUGGCUAAGGUGUCUUGGCUAAUGUGUCUUGGCUAAGGUGUCUUGGCUAAUGUGUCUUGGCUAAUGUGUCUUGGCUAAUGUGUCUUGGCUAAUGUGUCUCGGCUUAUGUGUCUUGGCUAAUGUGUCUUCGCUAAGGUGUCUUGGCUAAUGUGUUUUGGCUAAUGUGUCUUGGCUAAUGUGUUUUGGCUAAUGUGUCUUGGCUAAGGUGUCUUGGCUAAGGUGUCUUUGCUAAGGUGUCUUGGCUAAGGUGUCUUGGCUAAUGUGUCUUGGCUAAGGUGUCUUGGCUAAUGUGUCUUGGCUAAGGUGUCUUGGCUAAUGUGUCUUGGCUAAGGUGUCUUGGCUAAGGUGUCUUUGCUUAGGUGUCUUGGCUAAGGUGUCUUGGCUAAUGUGUCUUGGCUAAUGUGUUUUGGCUAAUGUGUCUUGGCUAAGGUGUCUUGGCUAAUGUGUCUUGGCUAAGGUGUCUUGGCUAAGGUGUCUUGGCUAAUGUGUCUUGGCUAAUGUGUCUUGGCUAAUGUGUCUUCGCUAAGGUGUCUUGGCUAAUGUGUUUUGGCUAAUGUGUCUUGGCUAAUGUGUCUUCGCUAAGGUGUCUUUGCUAAGGUGUCUUGGUAAAAGUGUCUUGGCUAAGGUGUCUUGGCUAAUGUGUCUUGGCUAAUGUGUCUUGGCUAAGGUGUCUUGGCUAAUGUGUCUUGGCUAAGGUGUGUUGGCUAAUGUGUCUUGGCUAAUGUGUCUUGGCUAAUGUGUCUUGGCUAAUGUGUCUCGGCUUAUGUGUCGUGGCUAAUGUGUCUUCGCUAAGGUGUUUUGGCUAAUGUGUCUUGGCUAAUGUGUCUUCGCUAAGGUGUCUUUGCUAAGGUGUCUUGGUAAAAGUGUCUUGGCUAAGGUGUCUUGGCUAAUGUGUCUUGGCUAAUGUGUCUUGGCUAAGGUGUCUUGGCUAAUGUGUCUUGGCUAAUGUGUCUUGGCUAAGGUGUCUUGGCUAAUGUGUUUUGGCUAAUGUGUCUUGGCUAAUGUGUCUUCGCUAAGGUGUCUUUGCUAAGGUGUCUUGGUAAAAGUGUCUUGGCUAAGGUGUCUUGGCUAAGGUGUCUUGGCUAAUGUGUCUUGGCUAAUGUGUCUUGGCUAAUGUGUCUUCGCUAAGGUGUCUUGGCUAAUGUGUUUUGGCUAAUGUGUCUUGGCUAAGGUGUCUUGGCUAAGGUGUCUUGGCUAAGGUGUCUUGGCUAAUGUGUCUUGGCUAAGGUGUCUUGGCUAAUGUGUCUUGGCUAAUGUGUCUUGGCUAAUGUGUCUUGGCUAAUGUGUCUCGGCUUAUGUGUCUUGGCUAAUGUGUCUUCGCUAAGGUGUCUUGGCUAAUGUGUUUUGGCUAAUGUGUCUUGGCUAAUGUGUUUUGGCUAAUGUGUCUUGGCUAAGGUGUCUUGGCUAAGGUGUCUUUGCUAAGGUGUCUUGGCUAAGGUGUCUUGGCUAAUGUGUCUUGGCUAAGGUGUCUUGGCUAAUGUGUCUUGGCUAAGGUGUCUUGGCUAAUGUGUCUUGGCUAAGGUGUCUUGGCUAAGGUGUCUUUGCUUAGGUGUCUUGGCUAAGGUGUCUUGGCUAAUGUGUCUUGGCUAAUGUGUUUUGGCUAAUGUGUCUUGGCUAAGGUGUCUUGGCUAAUGUGUCUUGGCUAAGGUGUCUUGGCUAAGGUGUCUUGGCUAAUGUGUCUUGGCUAAUGUGUCUUGGCUAAUGUGUCUUCGCUAAGGUGUCUUGGCUAAUGUGUUUUGGCUAAUGUGUCUUGGCUAAUGUGUCUUCGCUAAGGUGUCUUUGCUAAGGUGUCUUGGUAAAAGUGUCUUGGCUAAGGUGUCUUGGCUAAUGUGUCUUGGCUAAUGUGUCUUGGCUAAGGUGUCUUGGCUAAUGUGUCUUGGCUAAGGUGUCUUGGCUAAUGUGUCUUGGCUAAUGUGUCUUGGCUAAUGUGUCUUGGCUAAUGUGUCUCGGCUAAUGUGUCUUGGCUAAGGUGUCUUGGCUAAUGUGUUUUGGCUAAUGUGUCUUGGCUAAUGUGUCUUCGCUAAGGUGUCUUUGCUAAGGUGUCUUGGUAAAAGUGUCUUGGCUAAGGUGUCUUGGCUAAUGUGUCUUGGCUAAUGUGUCUUGGCUAAGGUGUCUUGGCUAAUGUGUCUUGGCUAAUGUGUCUUGGCUAAGGUGUCUUGGCUAAAGUGUCUUGGCUAAGGUGUCUUGGCUAAUGUGUCUUGGCUAAGGUGUCUAGGCUAAUGUGUCUUGGCUAAUGUGUCUUGGCUAAGGUGUCUUGGCUAAUGUGUCUUGGCUAAGGUGUCUAGGCUAAUGUGUCUUGGCUAAUGUGUCUUGGCUAAUGUGUCUUGGCUAAAGUGUCUUGGCUAAUGUGUCUUGGCUAAGGUGUCUUGGCUAAUGUGUCUUGGCUAAGGUGUCUUGGCUAAUGUGUCUUGGCUAAGGUGUCUUGGCUAAGGUGUCUUGGCUAAGGUGUCUUGGCUAAUGUGUCUCGGCUAAUGUGUCUUGGCUAAGGUGUCUUGGCUAAAGUGUCUUGGCUAAGGUGUCUUGGCUAAUGUGUCUUGGCUAAGGUGUCUAGGCUAAUGUGUCUUGGCUAAUGUGUCUUGGCUAAGGUGUCUUGGCUAAUGUGUCUUGGCUAAGGUGUCUAGGCUAAUGUGUCUUGGCUAAUGUGUCUUGGCUAAUGUGUCUUGGCUAAAGUGUCUUGGCUAAGGUGUCUUGGCUAAGGUGUCUUGGCUAAGGUGUCUUGGCUAAUGUGUCUUGGCUACGGUGUCUUGGCUAAUGUGUCUUUGCUAAGGUGUCUUGGCUAAUGUGUCUCGGCUUAUGUGUCUUGGCUAAGGUGUCUUGGCUAAGGUGUCUUGGCUAAUGUGUCUUGGCUAAUGUGUCUUGGCUAAGGUGUCUUGGCUAAUGUGUCUUGGCUAAGGUGUCUUGGCUAAUGUGUCUUGGCUAAUGUGUCUUGGCUAAUGUGUCUUGGCUAAGGUGUCUUGGCUAAUGUGUCUUGGCUAAUGUGUCUUGGCUAAUGUGUCUUCGCUAAGGUGUCUUGGCUAAUGUGUUAUGGCUAAUGUGUCUUGGCUAAGGUGUCUUGGCUAAGGUGUCUUUGCUUAGGUGUCUUGGCUAAGGUGUCUUGGCUAAUGUGUCUUGGCUAAUGUGUUUUGGCUAAUGUGUCUUGGCUAAGGUGUCUUGGCUAAUGUGUCUUGGCUAAGGUGUCUUGGCUAAGGUGUCUUGGCUAAUGUGUCUUGGCUAAUGUGUCUUGGCUAAUGUGUCUUCGCUAAGGUGUUUUGGCUAAUGUGUUUUGGCUAAUGUGUCUUGGCUAAGGUGUCUUGGCUAAGGUGUCUUUGCUAAGGUGUCUUGGCUAAGGUGUCUCGGCUAAUGUGUCUUGGCUAAGGUGUCUUGGCUAAGGUGUCUUGGCUAAGGUGUCUUGGCUAAUGUGUCUUGGCUAAGGUGUCUUGGCUAAUGUGUCUUGGCUAAUGUGUCUUGGCUAAUGUGUCUUGGCUAAGGUGUCUUGGCUAAUGUGUCUUGGCUAAUGUGUCUUGGCUAAUGUGUCUUGGCUAAUGUGUCUCGGCUAAUGUGUCUUGGCUAAGGUGUCUUGGCUAAUGUGUCUUGGCUAAUGUGUCUUGGCUAAUGUGUCUUCGCUAAGGUGUCUUUGCUAAGGUGUCUUGGUAAAAGUGUCUUGGCUAAGGUGUCUUGGCUAAUGUGUCUUGGCUAAUGUGUCUUGGCUAAGGUGUCUUGGCUAAUGUGUUUUGGCUAAUGUGUCUUGGCUAAGGUGUCUUGGCUAAAGUGUCUUGGCUAAGGUGUCUUGGCUAAUGUGUCUUGGCUAAGGUGUCUAGGCUAAUGUGUCUUGGCUAAUGUGUCUUGGCUAAGGUGUCUUGGCUAAUGUGUCUUGGCUAAGGUGUCUAGGCUAAUGUGUCUUGGCUAAUGUGUCUUGGCUAAUGUGUCUUGGCUAAGGUGUCUUGGCUAAUGUGUCUUGGCUAAUGUGUCUUGGCUAAUGUGUCUUGGCUAAGGUGUCUUGGCUAAUGUGUCUUGGCUAAGGUGUCUUGGCUAAGGUGUCUUGGCUAAGGUGUCUUGGCUAAUGUGUCUCGGCUAAUGUGUCUUGGCUAAGGUGUCUUGGCUAAAGUGUCUUGGCUAAGGUGUCUUGGCUAAUGUGUCUUGGCUAAGGUGUCUAGGCUAAUGUGUCUUGGCUAAUGUGUCUUGGCUAAGGUGUCUUGGCUAAUGUGUCUUGGCUAAGGUGUCUAGGCUAAUGUGUCUUGGCUAAUGUGUCUUGGCUAAUGUGUCUUGGCUAAUGUGUCUUGGCUAAGGUGUCUUGGCUAAGGUGUCUUGGCUAAGGUGUCUUGGCUAAUGUGUCUUGGCUACGGUGUCUUGGCUAAUGUGUCUUUGCUAAGGUGUCUUGGCUAAUGUGUCUCGGCUUAUGUGUCUUGGCUAAGGUGUCUUGGCUAAGGUGUCUUGGCUAAUGUGUCUUGGCUACGGUGUCUUGGCUAAUGUGUCUUUGCUAAGGUGUCUUGGCUAAUGUGUCUCGGCUUAUGUGUCUUGGCUAAGGUGUCUUGGCUAAGGUGUCUUGGCUAAUGUGUCUUGGCUAAUGUGUCUUGGCUAAGGUGUCUUGGCUAAUGUGUCUUGGCUAAGGUGUCUUGGCUAAUGUGUCUUGGCUAAUGUGUCUUGGCUAAUGUGUCUUGGCUAAGGUGUCUUGGCUAAUGUGUCUUGGCUAAUGUGUCUUGGCUAAUGUGUCUUCGCUAAGGUGUCUUGGCUAAUGUGUUAUGGCUAAUGUGUCUUGGCUAAGGUGUCUUGGCUAAGGUGUCUUUGCUUAGGUGUCUUGGCUAAGGUGUCUUGGCUAAUGUGUCUUGGCUAAUGUGUUUUGGCUAAUGUGUCUUGGCUAAGGUGUCUUGGCUAAUGUGUCUUGGCUAAGGUGUCUUGGCUAAGGUGUCUUGGCUAAUGUGUCUUGGCU